RNA transcript from Gallus gallus (chicken), 2611 nucleotides. It is a transcript of the gene named sperm-associated antigen 4 protein-like, with no coding region annotated. The transcript is spliced from 10 exons. The record is from RefSeq and is a predicted model, not a curated record. NCBI's taxonomy places the organism in Eukaryota, Metazoa, Chordata, Aves, Galliformes, Phasianidae.
CCAUCCUCCUAUCACUCAGAUGUGGAGAGCCAGCCCCCCGCCCCUCAGUGGCAGCAGUGGGACUGGGUGAGGACGGGGAUCGUGGCAGUAGCACCGGUGGGAUUGGGUGGGGCACGCGGGGCCACUGCAUGGGGGGAGUGAUGCUGGGAAUAGGUACCAGGGUGGUCAGAUGGCACCUGAGGACAACACUGAUGGCAGCAGGUCCUGUCUGGGACAGAGGCUGUGUGCGGCUGGCGACAUCGCAAGCGGCCAGCAGCGAGGACAAGGACCCAAAAGGAACGGCGGCACCGUCCGAUGGGGACGGCGGCGGUGUUCCCAAGGGCUGGCACUCACCGUUGGUGCACUUGGGCUGGGAGGGGUCCGUGCUGAGGACCUGUAGGGCAGCGGGAUCAGGAGGGGCGGUGGGGUCCUGAUGGGACCAAGAGACGCUGGGGGAUAUGGGACACGGGGGUGUCCCGUCCCCCAAGUCACGCGCACCACUGCUGGCUCUUGGUUGCUGCUGCAAAGCAAGGCCAGAGGGCACCGUGAGUGUCCCCUGGGGACAGCCCCAUCGGCCCCAGUGUGCGUCCCAGCCUGACGGGACGGGGGGUGUCUUUAUAAAACAAAGAUGCCACUCAGCUUCCGAAGGUGACCUCGGAAUUAGUUUUAUUUAGCGAAGGUGCCAGGAGGUUUCACAGGAGUAGUCUGAAUUUAGCGAGAGAAGUGGGAGCGAGGCUGCCAGGGAAGCAGUCAGGCAUGGGAUGGGUGACCUGGUGGGCAACCCAGGAACGGAUCCUCCGAGAUCCUUGGCUGGUGGGAAGAGGGAGCGGGUGUCAUGUGGCCAGGAGGUAGGGAGUGAAAGGGGUUGGAGCUUGGAGAACGUUUGGGAGCUUCCGCAGCAGUUUCUGUCUGUUGGCCGUCCCUCGAGUCGAAGAUGUCAACCUGUUCCAAACCCCUCUAUCACCUCGUUGAACGUCCAGCUCUGGCCAACCGUUUCUGAACACCACGGUGGGGCCGGGCGUCCCUUCCCCCCAACCGUGCUGAGAUUCUGUGUUUUGAUGAAGAAAAGCUUGUGUGCGUCAAAGGGAGACCUGAGGCUGAAACGGGGCCGACCUUCCUCUCAGGUCCAACAUGAUGAAUCCAUCCCGCUCUCCCGGGUCAGUGCCAAGAUGCAGAGAAGACCGCUCAGUGUGCCGCUUGUUGCUUUUCUCCUCCAACGUCGGAUGAUGUCCGGAGAGUCCGUUUUCUGGAGAAGGCGGCAGACUGAAGACGUGGCAGAGCCCCAGUGGGCUCAGAGCUUUUGGGACGGCAGUGCUGAGAGGACGUGCUGCUUCCAGCGCUCAUCUGUUGCCAACAUGGCGAGAGCAAAGGCUCGACACGCCAGGAGCCCGAAGGCAUCUGAGCGCUCCGCUGCGAGCGAGGCUGUUGGUGAGGCCCGUCAGCGCCGCGUAGAAGAGGCAGCAGCAAUGAGUCAAAGGCUCCGUGUGCUGAUGGCGUUGUGGAUGGCAUUUUCAGUACAAGCUCUUGCCUCCGCUGGCCAGCUCUGCAGAACGUGGCGUGACAAAGCCACGGGAAUGGCAGGCAAGCUGGCUGCUGCUGCUGCAGGGCACAAGAAGAUGCUUUUCAGGCUGUCCAUCAUAGUGCUCCUGGUGACUUUGGCCAUGGUGAAUGUGUGUGUCUUCAAGACUUGCUGGGCAGCUAGGAGAAUUUGGGAAGACAGCACGGCACAGGAGAUCGAGAGACUCCAACAGGCAGCGUCUGAGCUGAGAGCGCAGCUGGACUGCUACCAGACACCUGACUGGGCGCUGCAAAGCUUUGGUGAGGACACAGGCAGGCAAGCCCUGCUACCCUGUGCUUCUCCACGUCUGCGGCCUCUUGCACUCAUCUCCUCCCCCAUCAUUACAGGUGCCACCAUCGACACGCGGAGAACUUCUCCUAUUUACGAGCUGAGGAGCUGGUUUAGCAGACACUGCUUCUGGUGCUCUGUGAACCCUCCGGAUACCAUAUUGCAGCCGGGUGUCUCCCUUGGAGAAUGCUGGCCCAUGGAAGGACAGCAGGGCCAGGUGGUCAUCAGGCUGCGUGCCAAAAUCCGGCCCUCUUGUGUCACUCUGGAGCACAUCACCCCGGAGAUGACUCCGAGCGGCACAGCCAGCAGUGCCCCCAGGGAUGUCGCUGUCUUUGGACUGGAUGCGGACAGCGAAGAGGAGGUUCCCCUUGUGUCAUUCACCUUUGAUGUGGGGGAAGGGCCCACGCAGACCUUCUUGCUAAAGAAUAAUCAUUCCAGAGCCUUUCGCUACAUCAAGGUUCUGGUGAAGAGCAACUGGGGACACCCCCGUUACACCUGCCUUUACCGAGUGCAGGUGCACGGAAAGGUGGUGAAAACAGAAGACCAUAGAACCGCAGAGUCAUUGAAUGGCUAAGGCUGGAAAAGACCCACAGGAUCAUGCGAUGCAACCAGUCACCCGUCACCAGCGGUUCUCAUGAAACCAAGCUCUGCGCCGGGCUCGCCGCUGCUCCCCUGACAGCAACGCGGCGAGCGCUCGUCGCAACGGCGGGGCUGAGGCACAAAGCCAGGCGGAGGGGCCGCAGGCUUUCUGGGCUGACACGGGCAGCCACAUGGACCUCCAAGGAG